UACGGAGGAUGCAAGCGUUGUCCGGAAUCAUUGGGCGUAAAGGGUCCUGAGGUGGUUUGCUCAGUCCAGUGUGAAAGUUCAGGGCUUACCCUUGAAAAUGCGGUGGAAACUAGCAGGCUAGAGUACGGUGGGGGCAGAGGGAAUUCCCGAUGUAGCGGUGAAAUGCAUAGAUAUCGGGAAGAACACCGACGGCGAAGGCACUCUGCUGGGCCGAGACUGACACUGAAAGACGAAAGCCAGGGGAGCGAAUGGG
This 253-nucleotide ribosomal RNA is filed under the name uncultured bacterium. RNAcentral's name for it is "partial 16S ribosomal RNA". It matches the Rfam family "Bacterial small subunit ribosomal RNA", at positions 524 to 776 of the family's 1533-position model. The record is from RNAcentral.